GUGUCAGCCGCCGCGGUAAUACAGAGGGGGCAAGCGUUGUUCGGAAUUACUGGGCGUAAAGGGCGCGUAGGCGGCCCUCUAAGUCGAACGUGAAAUCCCUGGGCUCAACCCAGGAACUGCGUCCGAUACUGAGGGGCUAGAAUCCGGGAGAGGGAUGUGGAAUUCCAGGUGUAGCGGUGAAAUGCGUAGAUAUCUGGAGGAACAUCGGUGGCGAAGGCGGCAUCCUGGACCGGUAUUGACGCUGAGGCGCGAAAGCCAGGGGAGCAAACGGGAUUAGAUACCCCGGUAGUCCUGGCCCUAAACGAUGAAUGCUUGGUGUGGCGGGUAUCGAUCCCUGCCGUGCCGAAGCUAACGCAUUAAGCAUUCCGCCUGGGGAGUACGGUCGCAAGGCUGGAACUUAAAUGAAUUGACGGGG
RNAcentral lists this ribosomal RNA (415 nucleotides) under uncultured prokaryote. RNAcentral describes it as "bacterial SSU rRNA". It matches the Rfam family "Bacterial small subunit ribosomal RNA", at positions 505 to 918 of the family's 1533-position model. The record is from RNAcentral.